ACAACAGUUGGAAACGACUGCUAAUACCGCAUAAGCCCACGGUGCUGCAUGGCACUGCGGGAAAAGGAUUUAUUCGCUCUAGGAUGGACUCGCGUCCAAUUAGCUAGUUGGUGAGGUAACGGCCCACCAAGGCGACGAUUGGUAGCCGGACUGAGAGGUUGAACGGCCACAUUGGGACUGAGACACGGCCCAGACUCCUACGGGAGGCAGCAGUGGGGGAUAUUGCACAAUGGGGGAAACCCUGAUGCAGCGACGCCGCGUGGAGGAAGAAGGUUCUCGGAUUGUAAACUCCUGUCGUUAGGGACGAUAAUGACGGUACCUAACAAGAAAGCACCGGCUAACUACGUGCCAGCAGCCGCGGUAAAACGUAGGGUGCAAGCGUUGUCCGGAAUUACUGGGUGUAAAGGGAGCGCAGGCGGACCGGCAAGUUGGAAGUGAAAACUAUGGGCUCAACCCAUAAAUUGCUUUCAAAACUGCUGGCCUUGAGUAGUGCAGAGGUAGGUGGAAUUCCCGGUGUAGCGGUGGAAUGCGUAGAUAUCGGGAGGAACACCAGUGGCGAAGGCGACCUACUGGGCACCAACUGACGCUGAGGCUCGAAAGCAUGGGUAGCAAACAGGAUUAGAUACCCUGGUAGUCCAUGCCGUAAACGAUGAUUACUAGGUGUUGGAGGAUUGACCCCUUCAGUGCCG
This 689-nucleotide ribosomal RNA is filed under the name uncultured bacterium. RNAcentral's name for it is "bacterial SSU rRNA". It matches the Rfam family "Bacterial small subunit ribosomal RNA", at positions 143 to 848 of the family's 1533-position model. The record is from RNAcentral.